UUUUCCUCUCUAGCACUUAAUUAAUUUUCACAUAAUAGUUUCCACACCGGAAACUAUUGUGUAACUUUUUCACCGGAUCUAACCUUACGUUAGAAUCUAGUUUUUUAUUCCUUCGUUUUAAUUUGUUGGUUAAUUGAAGAAUUCAAGAACAAAUCCUACCGGCUUGUGGUGGAGGGUUCAAGACUACUGUUUAAAUUAUUCAGGUUC
This 207-nucleotide long non-coding RNA is filed under the name Lathyrus oleraceus (garden pea). RNAcentral describes it as "Pisum sativum (pea) long non-coding RNA (PSAT_LNC014376)". The record is from RNAcentral. Lineage: Eukaryota; Viridiplantae; Streptophyta; Magnoliopsida; Fabales; Fabaceae.